Molecule: long non-coding RNA, 3340 nt
Organism: Lepisosteus oculatus (spotted gar)
Lineage: Eukaryota; Metazoa; Chordata; Actinopteri; Semionotiformes; Lepisosteidae
Source: Ensembl
AUCGUUUUUUUUUCUUUCAAUUAUAACUGAAGUUUGAACAACUAGUGUUAAGUCCUUAUUUUUCUGUAGUGAAAAAAAGCAAAAAUUAACAUUCAGGUCAUGAAAAACUCAAAAAAACUCCUCAACCACUAAACUUUACCUCCCACCUGAACGCCAUCUUGAACGCUCUCCGCUUCUAGAUUAUUUUGAAGUCGCGGCCUCGCUAACGAAUGACGUCAUUAUACUGCGCAACCCUGGAUGUAUUUCAUCCACUUCAUCCAAGUGUAGGUGAUUGAAUGAUUUUCUUUAAAUAAAGAAGAAAGUUGUUUUUUAAACUUUUAAACUUCAGUUUUUGCAAACGUAGCAUUUUGUCGGCUAUGUUUAUGCUUGAACAGAGUACAUCCCUGACAACAGGAUCUGUUUAGAAUACAAAUAAAGAAGUUGUUCUGUUUAAACCGCAAGUCAGCCUUUGUUUCUGACUGACUCUGAAGAAGGAUGGCGGAGUGCUUGUUAAAUCUGCAAACCCAGCUUUACUCUUUCAUGCAGGUUUUGCUCAAAUCGAUCGUGUAUGAAGUGUCAGAAGUUUUUGGAAACAGGAUGUCUGACUCUGAGAACGAGUUUGAAGACAAACUCCGCAGCGUCUCCCAGAUCCUGGUGAGACGGGCCGUGUUUAAAAUCACCCAGUGUGUGGAGGACAGUGUCGGGAGUGAAAUGGCGCAGCUGAAGAAGGAAAACGAGAGCCUGAAGUGGAGACUGCAGCUGUGGGAGAAGGAUUUGGGAGCAGGAGGAGAUCGGGGACAGACAGAUCGUGUUGGACACACGCUUCUCUGUGAAGUCACUGCAGAAAUAAAAGAAGAAAUGGACACGAAACUGGAGCUGUCAGGCUCAGAGACCAGUGCUCUCUCUGACGCUGGGGAAAGGGCUCCUCUUGAACAGCAGCACAGUGAGGAGGAGUGGGGCUCCAGUCUGAUGCAGGAGACAGCGCUCACUGCUGUAGAAGGGAAAGAGAAACUCAGUGACCAGCAGCAGACUGAUGUACCUUGUGAAGAGAACAGUACUGAGUCACAGUACACAGAGAAGGGUCAGUACAGGGAGGAGCAACGGCAGCUCCUACAGAGCUUGAUAAUAAAUAGGCCCUGUUCUGUUCAAGUGGAGAGACUGUCAUUGCAGAGUCUAAAACAAUCAUAUGAUCCCUUAGUAUCUGAUGACUUUACACACAGGUUUAGUAAUCUGGUUACUGAGCAAAUUGUUAAAAAGUUUUAAUGAACUGGAGAGUAUGUCUGUUCUUGGGCAAAGAGAGGAACAACUGAAUGAACUGGAUGGUUUUAGUCUCAGAGAGCUGGAGAAGGAGCCCCAGAUGAUUCACACUGCUGAGCAGCACACUGAAGGACAGGCUGGAGAAAACAAAUCUCAGUUUCAGCACACAGAGCAAGACCAUUCCAUGGAGCAUUUGCAAAAUAAGAGACCCCAGCACGAUCAGAGGAUGAGGAAGAAUCACUCAAGGCCUUGCUCAGAUGGAGUGGACAAACUGAUAUUAUGGCACAGGGAGGAGCAGCGUUUCUGUCAGUCUAGCAUUUCAAAACCCUACCAGUUUUAGUUUGAAAAGCCACUUACAAUCACACCAGCACAUUCACACAGGAGAGAGACCAUUCAGCUGCAGUCAGUGUGGGACAAGUUUUAGUCAGUUAUGCAACUUAAAAAGACACCAGCACAUUCACACAGGAGAGAGACCAUUCAGCUGCAGUCAGUGUGGGAAGAAUUUUAAUCAGUCAAGUACCUUAAGAGCCCACCAGCAUAUUCACACAGGAGAGAGACCAUUCUGCUGCGGUCAGUGUGGGAAGAAUUUUAGUCAGUCAAGUACCUUAAGAGCCCACCAGCAUAUUCACACAGGAGAGAGACCAUUCAGCUGCAGUCAGUGUGGGAAGAGUUUUAGUCGAUUAAGCCACUUCAAAGACCACCAGCGUAUUCACACAGGAGAGAGACCAUUCAGCUGCAGUCAGUGUGGAAAGAGUUUAAGUCAGUUAUGCAACUUAAAAAGCCACCAGCACAUUCACACAGGAGACAGAACAUUCAUCUGCAGUCAAUGUGGGAAGAGCUUUAGUCAGUCAAGUACCUUAAGAGCCCACCAGCGCACUCACACAGGAGAGAGACCGUUCAGCUGCAGUCAGCGUAGGGAUAGUUUUAGUGACUGAAUCACCUGAACAGCCCCCAGAUUAAGAUCACUUUAUUGGCCAUAUACAAUUUCUUGUAUUAAGAAUUUGUCUUUUCACAGGUUGCACACCAUGAGGCCCACAGAUAGAGGGAGAAGCUUGGGGUCAGAGCGCAGGGGGAGCCAUUUGUACAGCACCCCUGGAGCAGUUGGGGUUUGGGGCCUUGCUCAUGUGUCCAAUGGAGUAGGAUUCCUCAGUCAGCUUCGGGAUUUGAACCGGCACCCACAGGCCCAGAUCCUUAGCCAUAUUGCCAACACACCGCCCUUAUUCGUACAGCAGAGAGAUCUUUCAUCUGCAGUCAGUGUGGGAAGUGUUUUAGUGACUCAUGUACCUUAAUAGCCCACCAGUGCACUCACACAGGAGACAUUCAUUGUCCACCAGUGCAGUCACACAGGCGAGAGAUCAUUCAGCUACAGUCAGAGUGAGAAGAGUUUUAUCUUGUCAGGGGACUUUAAAACACCAAUUUAGUCACCAGUUUUUAAUUUAUCAUAGUCUUAGUCUUGUCAACUGAAAUGUCUUUUAGUUGAAGUAGGUAGCUGCAUCAGCAUGUGACAUCUGUAAAAGGUUGCACAGCCGACAUAUUGUGUUUUCUUUGUUCUCUUUUCAGAGGAAUAAACCUUUACUUGUUCCUAAAAUGUCUAUUAGUCACUUUGUAGUCGCCCACUUUUUAUUUAGUCUAGUCAUCUAAAAGUUGACUAUAAUUACUCUUACUUAUAGUUGAUGAGAACAGAAUUAGUUCUAGUCAUGCAGUUUACUUUAUGUGUAUAAUAAAAUGUAAGUCUAAAUUGAAUUCUUUAUUCCUUUAUAGUCUUGGAAUGUUAAGUCCUGUUUAAUUUCCAAUUAAGACUGUUCUCAUUGGAUAGGCUUUUAAUUGUGUAACAUCUUUUAACUUACCAUGUAAAGCAAGAAAUGCGUAUAAAACAGAUUAGGAUUCUUAACUGUAACUCUUAAGACAAAGAGACCCAAAAGCUCAAAGUCUUUGUUGCACAAUCUAAAUUUUAUUAAAUACAAUAAAUAUUUAUGCAAUAAAGGGUAAAUAAUAAGGAAUUGGAGAUAUUGUAUGAAUCUCUCUUGAUAAAAAAAUCUAUUUUGGCACCCUUACUAAUAAUUCCAUUUUUUUAUGUUUUUUAACAUUCUUUUUCAGUGCAGCU